Molecule: long non-coding RNA, 1922 nt
Organism: Formica exsecta
Lineage: Eukaryota; Metazoa; Arthropoda; Insecta; Hymenoptera; Formicidae
Exons: 8
Source: RefSeq, a predicted model, not a curated record
UUCCGCGUAGUUUUCCCGCGUCUUUCUAGUAAUGAAGUGAUAACGCGUGUAGUGUGUCGUAUUAUCUUUAAUAGAAACAUUCUUUGCAACAUUCUUUGAUAGAAACAUUCCUUGCAAAUUCCUUCAUAUUUUUUUUCUCGCUGGGGGGUACCUAACGAUACCUCAUAUUUGAUUGAACUAUAUACAUUAGUGAGGAUACGUAGCGCUUGCUUAGUGCGCAUGCGCGACUUUAUUCCCACGACAGCGCAUCACUGCUCAGACGUCAGACCACGAUAUACCGUGGCAUAUUUUAUGUAUUAUAUGUAAUACAAAAUCAUUAUUUAUAAAUAAUUUGAUGGAGAAUUAUUACGAAGAAGAGUUCUUCCAUCGUAAUAAGACAAUUAAUAAUAGAUGUUCACUCAGGGUCUUGUACCUUAAUACGGAACAAUUAUAUUUUAUAGUUUUAAUCGAUUCCCUUAUCAGGGAAUCUGUCAUUUUUCCAUGCUACACAACAUUGAUAAAAUAGAUAAAAUUUUUUGCAAUUGUGAUCAUUCAAUUGACUUGGAAAAAUACAUUCGCUGUUUUCUGGCUCUGGCUGGAUUUGAACUCGAGCCCUUCAGCACAGUUCUCUGCGCCACGAUCGCCACAAUUAGCACCAUAGUACGCGAUACUGAUACUAUAACUAAAAUUUUCUGCCAUUCUGAUCACUUAAUUGAUCUGGAAAUUAAAGGAUUUCAUUCAUGUGUGUUGGAUUGUUUACAGCCACCUAUAACGGUGGAGGAAUAUUACUUAUACGAUCCCGAAUGUCCAAUAAUAUAUGAAUGUAAUGUAGAAUUAUUGGGAGAAAAGGGAAGAUUAUUAGAUAAAUUCCAAUUUUAUGGUACCGAAAAAAAUGAAAAACAAUAGAAACAUGUAUCGCAUAUAUUUAAAAAUUAUGGACCAGGUUUAAGGAGAAUCAAUUAUACGCAUAACAAUUACUGCAUUUUCUCGAACAUGCGUGUACCGGUGCAAGGUUGCUGGGGCAUUUAUAUGUGCAACCAUUUGUUAAGAGAAGCAUUUACCAUUGCAAGGUUGCUGGGGCAUUUAUAUAUGCAACCAUUUUUUAAGGAUUUGUCCCUUGAUACAUCAAGAUUAGACAUAUGGGAGACAUAUGGGACCUAAUAACGGUUUAGUUCGUUGACAAACAACACAACGCGACCGCAAAUAUUCACUGAAUAUUAAAAAUGGCUUGUAAUAUAUCAACGCUUCCGCCCGAAAUUAUCGAAUAUAUCUUCCGCCACAUUCCGGACCAUCGGGGCUUGGUGAUUUGCCGAUUAGUGUGCAAAUUUUGAAACAGAGAAGCAGAAAGAUACCUAAGAAUAAUUUGGCGUAAGAAGGCGGAAAAAAUAUUUGAUGAAUCAUUUCCAAACCACGAUAUACCGUGGCAUAUUUUAUGUAUUAUAUGUAAUACAAAAUCGGUGGAGGAAUAUUAUUUGUAUGAUCCAGAUUAUCCAAUAAUAUAUGAAUGUCAUAUUGAAUUGUUAGGAGAAAAAGGAAAUUUGAUAGAUACAUUCCAUUUUUGUGGUACCAUAAAAGAUAAACAAUGGAUAUAUGUAUCGCAUACAUUUAAAAAUUAUGGACCUGGUCUAAGAAAAAUUAAUUAUACACACAACUAUUCGAUUCCUUUUUUUCGAACAGGCGUUUAUUACUGCAAAGUGGCUGGAGCAUAUAUAUGCAAACAAUUUUUAAGAGUUUUAUCAAAAUCGAAAUUCGAGAAGCAGCAAAAUUCAUUCGCCAAAUUGUUCCUGUGGCCUGGAAUAAAAUCACACUUUUUGACAUCCAACAGUCUUUCUGCCAACUCUGUCAUGACAGCUCCUAUAAACAAAAUUGUAUUCACUCUAAUAUUAAUAUAUAAACAAUAUGCAACAAAAAAUUGCAGAAAUAUAAUUGUAUGUAUACCUGUA